Long non-coding RNA from Rhipicephalus microplus (southern cattle tick), 898 nucleotides. The record is from RefSeq and is a predicted model, not a curated record. NCBI's taxonomy places the organism in Eukaryota, Metazoa, Arthropoda, Arachnida, Ixodida, Ixodidae.
CGGAUCUCGAAUCCCUCUGGACAAUGUGCAGUUUCCAGUUAUCAAGGGAACUGUCAAAGUAUGCGUAUCUGGAAUGGAAUACUAGCAGAAGACACAGGAGAAAAAGAAGACCAAAUAUGUUACAUCGUGAUGCACUUGCAAACGUUUCAAUCUCAUUCAGAUAUGCAGUAGCCUUUCAGUUCAAAGAUUGUGUGCAGGCAGUGUAAGCAUGCAAGUACCGCUGAUUGGCCGAAGGAGUGUACGGAAAAAGUGAACAAACCUCCAAGGCACAAAGAAAAGGGUUCAUGAGGCUUCUCUCCUUUGCAUGGAAAGGCUAUGUAGUAUGCACCAUACAUUGGAUGGCAUGUUUUGGAUACAUGACGGGCAAAAACUAGGCAGCUCUACGUUGACUAUUUCUAGUUCCACGAUACUAAAUGUACAUGUUAAAGACUUUAGUUCAAAAAUACUAGCUGAUAAAUGCUAAGUUGAGACGAUCACCUUCCAGUAAUAUUUUUUUGUGCAUUCGUGUUCCUUAUGCAACCCCUUUUUAUAUCCCCAUCCCCAUAUGGUGCCAUUUAUAAAGUUUCCAGAUUGAAUAAUUAAGCAGCUCGCCCAAGUCAGUAGUAUCAAUAUGGACCAGAUUUAAGGGAAACCCCCAAGGUGGAGUAAGAUUCUGCAAAGGAAAGUUUGACAUCCACAUUUAGGUGGAUGUCAAACUUUCCUUUGCAGUAUCAAUAUGUAUACCUAAAGCGUUUCACUGAGGGGGUAGUUUCCAUAGUUGCCCCCAAAAAAAAGGCCAGUUUGUUUGCUCAGCCUCUACAUCAACCGGUCACAGCUGUUGCAGCAGUCUUGAUGAAAUUGCUCUGCUGUGUAGGUAACCAUACUUCACAUUUUCACAGUAAACUUUUUGUGCACAUUA